Non-coding RNA from Albula goreensis, 72 nucleotides. The record is from the annotation of a GenBank genome assembly. Lineage: Eukaryota; Metazoa; Chordata; Actinopteri; Albuliformes; Albulidae.
AGGGGUAUUGCUCAGUGGUAGAGCAUUUAACUGCAGCUCAAGUGGUCCCAGGUUCAAAUCCUGGUGUCCCCU